UACGUUAUGCUCGUAGGCGUCGCCCAAGGAUGAGGCCGCGACCGAUCAGGUUGUUGGUGAGGUAAUGGCUCACCAAGCCUUUUACCGGUGCGGGCCGUGAGAGCGGGAGCCCGGAGAUGGGCACUGAGACAAGGGCCCAGGCCCUACGGGGCGCAGCAGUCGCGAAAACUUUGCAAUACACGAAAGUGUGACAGGGCUAUCCCGAGUGCCAUCCGCUGAGGAAGGCUUUUACCCAGUCUAGAACGCUGGGGGAAUAAGGAGAGGGCAAGUCUGGUGUCAGCCGCCGCGGUAAUACCAGCUCUCCGAGUGGUGUGGAUGUUUAUUGGGCCUAAAGCAUCCGUAGCUGGCUGAGUUAGUCCCUUGUUAAAUCCACCGAAUUAAUCGUUGGAUUGCGGGGGAUACUGCUCGGCUAGGGGACGAGAGAGGCAGACGGUAUUUCUGGGGUAGGGGUGAAAUCCUAUAAUCCCAGGAGGACCACCAGUGGCGAAGGCUGUCUGCUAGAACGCGCCCGACGGUGAGGGAUGAAAGCUGGGGGAGCGAACCGGAUUAGAUACCCGGGUAGUCCCAGCUGUAAACGAUGCAGACUAGGUGUUUGGACGGCCACGUGCCGUUCUAGUGCCGCAGGGAAGCUGUUAAGUCUGCCGCCUGGGGAGUACGAUCGCAAGAUUGAAACUUAA
This 677-nucleotide ribosomal RNA is filed under the name uncultured archaeon. RNAcentral describes it as "bacterial SSU rRNA". It matches the Rfam family "Archaeal small subunit ribosomal RNA", at positions 176 to 859 of the family's 1478-position model. The record is from RNAcentral.